This 253-nucleotide ribosomal RNA is filed under the name uncultured bacterium. Its description in RNAcentral is "partial 16S ribosomal RNA". It matches the Rfam family "Bacterial small subunit ribosomal RNA", at positions 524 to 776 of the family's 1533-position model. The record is from RNAcentral.
GACGAAGGGGGCUAGCGUUGCUCGGAAUUACUGGGCGUAAAGCGAGUGUAGGUGGUUGUCCAAGUUGGAUGUGAAAGCCUUGAGCUCAACUCAAGAAAUGCAUUCAGGACUGGGCGACUAGAGGACCGGAGAGGAUAGUGGAAUUCCCAGUGUAGUGGUGAAAUACGUAGAGAUUGGGAAGAACACCAGUGGCGAAGGCGGCUAUCUGGACGGUUUCUGACACUAAGACUCGAAAGCGUGGGGAGCAAACAGG